UUAGAAGAACCUGGGACACCCUUUGUAAACUUGUUUCAUGCUUUAGUGCUUGACUCACGACUCCAAUCUGGUGCCAUCUUCAUGGCUUUAUGUACCUCUUACCCGCCUACAGCUCAGAUUGAUUUUCCUCCUACUCACCCUUUUGCUCACUACUCUCCUCCCAGUUCUCCUCUAACUAAUCCCUCUUGUUUCCCUCUGCUUGGUUUUGUUUGUUCCCUCCUCUUGCCUGCUCUGUGGUGCUCAGCCUGUGCAGCCAGGGGACACUGGGCCAAGGGUGCCACGUGGGCCCCACAGCCAAGGGGAAGAGCCUCGCUGGGCUCCUCAGCAGGCUGACCUUGGCACUUCCAGGAGUGGUUAGGAAAAGGGAUUCCUCAUCCUACACCAGAGCUGCUGUACUGUUAAUCCUAAGCAAUUAAUUAUUAGACUGUUGGGAAUGUGUUUUUGGAGAGAGGCCCUGCAUUCCCCAGACCAUCGCCAGUCUCUGGGGAAAUGUUGGGCAGCUUGGGUUGAAGUUAGACAAACAACAUAAGAGAAUAGGGGAAAAUAUUCUGGCUGUAUUGCACAUGGCUGCUUUCAUAGCAUGCCACUCAGCCUGCAAGUGAGCUGUUUAUAAAGAUAAUUCCACUAAGCACAGACAACUGAUUCAUUUCCCUGCUGCAGUCACACUUACAGAAAUCCUAGUGAAACACUUACACAUUAACAUUUUACAAUUUUAUUGCUGGCACUACCCACUUCUGCAGUGUCCUGUGGGUUAAAGCUCCUUGGCAAGUUCAGUCAAUAACUUGUGCCAUGACAGUUUGCUUGGGUUGAAUGCACAGAAAGAUUAAAAACCAACACAAACCCAAAUGGAAGCAAGCAGCUCAUUGAACAGGAAUAUCCAAAUGCCUCAGUGUGAGUUGAUGGGAUGGGUGCCACAUCCUGGCAAGCACUUCGUGGGCUUGGAGCCGAAUCUUCCACCCCAUUAAGAGGAAUGCUGUUGCCUUCUGUGCCCAAGGAUCUUCCAGGGUCUCCAGGUUAUUAUUAUCUUUCCUCUAAUGAGCAUGUUUAAUUAAAGGGCAGGUAUUUCCUAAAAGAUUUUAUUUGAUUUGGGGACAUCAUGUGAAGGAAACCACAAAAAGACACUUUCCCCCCAAAUCUUUAUAGCCCUGUAUGGAAGUGGUUGAAAGAUUCUUACACCAGUUUUCAGGAACACCUGUCAGUUUUGCCUGAAUUCACACAACUGAAAUGAAGGCACAGAAAUGGUAAAGCUCACGGCUGCUUUUGAGAGAAGGAUAUCAAAUCUCUCUCUUUUGGACAGGAACAAAAAUGGGGGGCUGAGAUCUCCUGCCAAACCCCACCGAAGCAGUUUGGCUGUUAACUAAUUGUAUAUUUGUCACACUUCAAAGGGUCUAAAGGUCAUGUCUUGGUGGUCACUCCUAUUUCUCCUUCAGACGUGGUCAGGUGGGACUGUGAGUUUGACCUGCCUUCAAUUCUACAAGAAGCAAAAUCCUGAGGCUGUCUGGAUUUGAGCUCUCACAGGUUAAGGAAAGCUGGGGAUCUUGGAGGGACUGGAUGUGCUACAGAUUUGCAGCAGGAAUGGAACUGAAGGAGAGGGUUAUGGGCCUGUAAAAGCACAGAUCUCUGGAGAAGAUGAACAGCUGACAUUUACUCCCUGUGUACCAUAAUAUAAGAACCAGGAGAAAUCAAAUGAGAAUUACAGAGAGGCCAACAGAAGGAGAGAUGUCUGCCUGUGAUUCUCAGUCCCACACACAUCCCCACGAACCCAAGGUAUAUUAACAGACAGAAUGUGAAAUCCAAGUGAAAGGAAGAGUCCAUAGAACAAAUCUCAUGGCAUUUGGAUUGCUCAUGGGCUAACAAGGUGUACCUUUCCCUGGGGAGCACCUGUUGGUGGGAAUGUUGGCUGACUGUACACCACCAGCAGCCCAGGUGCUGUGAGGUGCAAGGAAAAAGCCAUGGAUGUGAUUUUAGAGGGACAUGAACAUGUGCUGCAGAGAAGAUCUGGAUUCUGAGAUUUCCAGGUAUCACCAUCUUUACCGUGCUGGGAUCACAGUCCAGUUACAGAUGUUGAAUUACAACAACUGUUUCUUCUUCA
Serinus canaria (Common canary) is the source of this 2092-nucleotide long non-coding RNA. RefSeq lists it as uncharacterized. NCBI's taxonomy places the organism in Eukaryota, Metazoa, Chordata, Aves, Passeriformes, Fringillidae. The record is from RefSeq and is a predicted model, not a curated record. The transcript has 4 exons.